RNAcentral lists this ribosomal RNA (464 nucleotides) under uncultured bacterium. RNAcentral's name for it is "partial 16S ribosomal RNA". It matches the Rfam family "Bacterial small subunit ribosomal RNA", at positions 338 to 794 of the family's 1533-position model. The record is from RNAcentral.
CCUACGGGAGGCAGCAGUGGGGAAUCUUCGGCAAUGGGCGCAAGCCUGACCGAGCGACGCCGCGUGGAGGACGAAGGCCUUCGGGUUGUAAACUCCUUUUCAGGGGGAAGAAUAAGUCCGGGAGGCAAUGCCCGGGCGAUGACGGUACCCCUGGAAUAAGCCACGGCUAACUCUGUGCCAGCAGCCGCGGUAAGACAGAGGCGGCGAGCGUUACCCGGAUUCACUGGGCGUAAAGGGUGCGUAGGCGGUCGCGCAUGUCGGCGGUGAAAUCCCCCGGCUCAACGGGGAGAGGGCGGACGAAACUGCGCGGCUGGAGGGCCGGAGAGGGAGGCGGAACUUCCAGAGUAGCGGUGAAAUGCGUAGAUACGGGAAGGUACCCCAAUAGCGAAGGCAGCCCCCGGGCCGGUUCCUGACGCUGAGGCACGAAAGCGUGGGGAGCAAACCGGAUUAGAUCCCCCUGUAGU